GUAGGGGGCAAGCGUUAUCCGGAAUCACUGGGCGUAAAGGGAGCGUAGGCGGUUUGACAAGCCAGAGGUGAAAGGCAAUAGCUUAACUAUUGUAAGCCUUUGGAACUGUCGAACUUGAGUGUAGGAGAGGAAAGUGGAAUUCCUAGUGUAGCGGUGAAAUGCGUAGAUAUUAGGAGGAACACCAGUGGCGAAGGCGACUUUCUGGACUAUAACUGACGCUGAGGCUCGAAAGCGUGGGGAGCAAACAGGAUUAGAUACCCUGGUAGUCCACGCUGUAAACGAUGAAUACUAGGUGUCUGGGGGUCAAACCUAGGUGCCGCAGCUAACGCAUUAAGUAUUCCGCCUGGGGGAGUACGCACGCAAGUGUG
Molecule: ribosomal RNA, 368 nt
Filed under: uncultured organism
Description: partial 16S ribosomal RNA
Rfam family: Bacterial small subunit ribosomal RNA
Source: RNAcentral